GCACUGGUGAGGAGUCUCAAAAUAGGACGAAACGGCCGUCCAGUAC
This is a non-coding RNA of Schistosoma curassoni, 46 nucleotides long. The record is from Rfam. NCBI's taxonomy places the organism in Eukaryota, Metazoa, Platyhelminthes, Trematoda, Strigeidida, Schistosomatidae.